RNAcentral lists this ribosomal RNA (250 nucleotides) under uncultured bacterium. RNAcentral describes it as "partial 16S ribosomal RNA". It matches the Rfam family "Bacterial small subunit ribosomal RNA", at positions 524 to 773 of the family's 1533-position model. The record is from RNAcentral.
UACGUAGGGGGCGAGCGUUGUCCGGAUUUAUUGGGCGUAAAGGGCGUGUAGGCGGCCAAGCAAGUCAGGGGUGAAAACCUGGGGCUCAACCCCGGGCCUGCCUCUGAAACUGGUUGGCUUGAGUGCUCUAGAGGGCAGUGGAAUUCCCGGUGUAGCAGUGAAAUGCGUAGAGAUCGGGAGGAACACCAGUGGCGAAGGCGGCUGCCUGGGGAGUAACUGACGCUGAGGCGCGAAAGCUGGGGGAGCAAAC